This is a long non-coding RNA of Tupaia belangeri chinensis (Chinese tree shrew), 701 nucleotides long. RefSeq lists it as uncharacterized. The record is from RefSeq and is a predicted model, not a curated record. NCBI's taxonomy places the organism in Eukaryota, Metazoa, Chordata, Mammalia, Scandentia, Tupaiidae. The transcript is spliced from 3 exons.
CGCUCCCGCUGCCGCUGCCGGCGCGUCUGCGCCUCGCGCUGCAGCACCGGAGCGCGGGGCGAGCUCCUCACUGGGGACCGAAGUGUGGCGGAGGACGGGAGCAGAGCGUGCCGUGGGCCCGCGGGGUGCGGGCGUGCGCGUGCGUGCGCGUGGGAAGCCUCACGCCAACGCUCUGUAGGGCACUCGGGUGGCCCAGGGCCCGUCGUCGGGGUCCUCGGGAUCUCCCGCACGCUAGCAGCCACAUGGCACAUCCGAGGACUGAGCGACAGGCUGCGGGCGGGAAGCUUACAGCUGGCCAGUGUUUCCCAAACGCCAAACGGCACUUCGGGCGGCAGUACACUGAUUUAAAGAGAGCCAGUGGGUCAAUCUGGAGACUGAGAUGGGCUGCGACAGGGGCCUCAAGGGAUCAAAAUGGAGAGAAUCAAGAACAGAAGCUCAUUUGGCCUAGGGCAGGACAAACGACAUUUUCUUGAUGUAAAAGGCAGAAGAUCUGAAGACAGACCUAAAGAAGGAUGGAGAAGACCGUUGAGUUUACGUUUGGUAGAAGAGUGAAAAGAAUAAACAGAUAAAGAAAAGGAAGGGGACUCGGCACGGGGCAGAAACUGCGCUGUGUCUCACACCAGGAGGCCCUGAAGUCAGCAAGCACCUAACUGCUGAACAAACGUCACUCCAAAGCAGUCUUGGGCUUUUUCUUUGUUUAA